UCUUCUCUUCCUCCCACCCAUCUUCUCUCUCCCGAGUGAGCUCCCGCGGGACGGCACCGACCCCAGCCCUGACCCCAGCCCUGGGCGGCGUGCCGGCGAGCCCGAGCUCCCAUGUGACGUUAUUAGCCCCGGCCCUAGGCAGCGGCGGCAUGCCCGGGCUCUUGUGCAACGGCCCCGGCCCCGGCCCCGUCCCUGGACGGCCGCGGCAGGGAGCCUGACUUCUGGACGGCCGCGGCCGCGGGCAGCCCGAGCUCCCGUGUGGCGAUGCCUGGGUCAGUCUUCUCUCUUUCUUUCCUCAAUCCACAACAGAUGCGAGCUCGAGCUUCAAAUCCGGGGUGGAUCUAAGGUGCGGGAGGGCGGAUUCGAGGUGAGGGUGGCUGGACCUCGCGGCGCCAUUGUGAAAUCGGGAGGGAAGGAGGCGGGAGAGGGUGGCAAGCUGGCGAGGAUGGCUCCUCGGGGAGGGAAUUCGUGCGCACGCGGGAGGGAAAACUGCAUUACCGGUAGAGUAAGGGCUUCGCUCUCCACCAGUGGGAGAAGGGGCUGGAGGGGGGAAAAGCAGGAGCCUCCCUAAAGUAAGUAGGGGUCUGAGAAGUGUGUUUUUUCCCUGGUUCCAAUUUUUUGGAUAGAGGCUUUGCUGGAGUUGCUUAAAAAAACCGUGUCUCAAGAAAUAAGAUUUGUUUUUCGUUCAUCCCUGUUGAGGAGCAUCUCGGAGACUUAUUUUCUCUUUUUGAUCAGCUCGCUUGAAAGUUGGACGGCAUGUAUAGAUUCUAAUAAAGGUAUAUGUGAUUUUGAUACAAAAAAUAGCAUGAUAUGGAAUAUCUUAAAAAAGUAUUCAAAAUAAAGAUAAUGUUUUUGUUGAGGACCUUCUUGGGAAGACAUGUUUUGAAGGAACAAUUGAGGAAUAGGAACUAAAGGAGAACUUCCAAUAAAUGGUUAUUGGACUGGACGAAUUGGUUCGCCAACGUCGACGUUGGAAUUCACGAGAUCUUAUUAUCUACCUCAUGUCACAAAUUCUCCAUAGUUCCAAUACAUUUUAUGACUUCCGAACCUCUCUUCGUUGUAUUGCUAUAAUAAUUAUUCCCUCCAUUCCAAAUUAUAAUCCGUUUUAGCAUUUCUUGAUCUAUAGAUUUUGAUAUGCAUCUAUACAUAGAUGCAUAGUAAAAGCUAUGAAACUAGAAAAUUCAAAACAACCCUAUCGGAGUAACAUCUAAGCCGUGUGCUCAUGUGUACUUGAUGUGAUGCACCCAAAACUUCUCGUGAGCAUUACAUGCAUG
This 1274-nucleotide long non-coding RNA is filed under the name Setaria viridis. RNAcentral's name for it is "long non-coding RNA (SVIR_LNC009624)". Lineage: Eukaryota; Viridiplantae; Streptophyta; Magnoliopsida; Poales; Poaceae. The record is from RNAcentral.